ACGCUAUGCAGUGGACCACUUGGCUCGGGGGUCGAUGAAGAUUGUAGCUAGCUGCGAGUCGAAAUGUGAACUGCAGGACAAAUGAACA
Molecule: ribosomal RNA, 88 nt
Filed under: Lepeophtheirus salmonis (salmon louse)
Lineage: Eukaryota; Metazoa; Arthropoda; Copepoda; Siphonostomatoida; Caligidae
Description: 5.8S ribosomal RNA (partial)
Rfam family: 5.8S ribosomal RNA
About the family: 5.8S ribosomal RNA (5.8S rRNA) is a component of the large subunit of the eukaryotic ribosome. It is transcribed by RNA polymerase I as part of the 45S precursor that also contains 18S and 28S rRNA.
Source: RNAcentral